GCAAGCACAACCACAAUGUCUAGAACUCUGGGAAUCAGUCAAGACCAAACCCAAGAGUCCAUGGGAACGCAAAAAGGAGCUGAGUUAAAUAGUAAAGGCUUGGAGAAUCGGUAGUGGCUGUAAAAAUAAUAGAAGACAAAAGUGGAGGGAGUAAGUAUUAUUGUGUCCUGCUUGAAGCCUUCCCAGAUAAGACAACGAUACAGGAUGCAAGUAGGAAAGGAAGAAGUCAAAUUACCCCUGUUUACAAAUAAUAGAAUCCUGUCCUUAAAAACCGUGAAGACUACACCAGACAGCUGAAUCCGGAUGAGCACUGAACAAAGCAGCCAGGUACAGAAUUAACAAAAUCAGUGGCCUUGGGUACAGCAAAGCAGCUAGGUACAAAAUUAACAAAAUCAGUGGCCUUGGGCGCUUGCUUUAUUAUUUUAUGACAUUCUUAUCCUGCUUUAAAGUGAGAUGGGGUCAUUGGGACCCAUAAAUGCCAGAGGUGCCAAGGUGACUGAAGGGAUUAGAGGAAAGGGUGGGGCAUAUGUAAAAUAUAUAAAGAACUGAAAAUAUUCAACACUCCAAACCAAAACCAUCCACCAAUGAAAAGGCUUGUGGAUUGAACAGGCAGCUCACAAAAAGAAGUGUAAAUAGAAACAACAAUGCGUACUUGAAAAGAUGCUCAACGUCCUUCGACAUCAGGCAAACUGACCGGAGAUUCCUGCCUGUCCCAGUCAGCACAGCUGUCACAAGAAAUCAUGGCAGUGCUGCUGAGGAUGGGGGAAAGAUGGCUCCCUACCUCCUGCUGCUGCUGCUGCUGCUGCUGCUGCUGCUGCUGCUGCUGCUGCUGCUGCUGCUGCUGCUGCUGCUGCUGCUGCUGCUGCUGGGGAUGUUAGCACCCAACACAGUGGAGCUUCUCAAGAAACUAAAAUACAAGAACAUUUGACCCAGCUGCACUCCUACAUAGGGAGAGCUGAGGACUCUCCAUGCUUAUCGCUCCACUACUGACAAGGGGUAGGAUGUGCAGCCAGCCUGGAUGUCUGUCCGUAGAUGAGUGGAUAAGGGAAAUGUGGUUUGUAAACACAACGACCGUAAAGAAAAAUAACAUCAUAUUUUCAGGAAAAUGGGCCAAUCUAAAAAUCAUGUUGUAGCAAAAAUUUUGGUUUCUUUAAAAACACAGAAAUAUAAGAAUGUGUUUUCAUUUUAAUCCCAGGUAUGGUACAUGAGGCUAUUUUUGUUCAUCCACAGCAGGUGACUAUGCUCUGCCUCGUGCUCUAGCGGGUGCAUGAUUUUGACAGCUGGAGAUAGUUUCUAUGAAUGUGUGACAUUUGGAGUUCUGGAGACUCUUCAGAAGGUACAUAAAUGCUAGGGCCCCAAGUGUGGAUUUUGGUUCAUGGCUGGAUGCUGUUGGUUGUGGUUUGUUAAGUAGCCAUGUGCAAGGAAGAAAAAUGGAGGAGGAAGAGGAGGGGGAGUUAGAUAUCCUGGUAGUGAAGAGCACACUUACACCAAGGAUCUCGAUGCCCCUAAUCAGGAGGAAGUAGUCUAAUGAUAACAUUUAUGAGCUCCUACAUUCAAUUCCCAAUAACGAACACAUAAGACCAUUUUUUAGUCACAAAGAAAACCUAAGAGUCAAAAGGGUUAAGUCAAACUCUUUUUUUCUGAUCAUAAAAUUUUAAAAUAAAAAGAAAUUCUAGCAUCUGGGAGUUUGAAACUUUUACAAAUUUCCCUUGGGUGAAAGAAAUCACAAGAGAACAAAUGGAGAGCUGUGUGUAUAAUUCUAUCCUAAUAUGCAAAAGAUUAAGCAGGAGGGCUAUAGUGGGUAUGAGGUCAGCAUAGUCCACAGUCUCAAAAGGCCAAAAGAAAAAAAGAAAUCGUGAAAGAAAUGAAAUUAUUUGGGACUUAGAAUUAGUAAUAAUUGAGGUAGAAUCAUCUGAAGUAGAGAUAGUACGUCAUCAGAGGACAUACGAUUUCACAUCUGCGAGCAGAAAGCCAUUAACAAUCCAGUAAACAUUACCCCAAGGUUAACACACACACACACACACACACACACACACACACACACA
This 2045-nucleotide long non-coding RNA is filed under the name Mus musculus (house mouse). Its description in RNAcentral is "long non-coding RNA chr5:76648019-76650064". Lineage: Eukaryota; Metazoa; Chordata; Mammalia; Rodentia; Muridae. The record is from RNAcentral.